CGCCAGGACAGCUCAGUCAGUAGAGCAUGAGACUCUCAGUUUAAAGGUUGUGGGUUUGAGCCCCACGUUGGGGG
Podarcis lilfordi (Lilford's wall lizard) is the source of this 74-nucleotide non-coding RNA. NCBI's taxonomy places the organism in Eukaryota, Metazoa, Chordata, Lepidosauria, Squamata, Lacertidae. The record is from the annotation of a GenBank genome assembly.